GAUGAACGCUGGCGGCGCGCCUAACACAUGCAAGUCGAACGGCGUGGCGAACGACUGCGUAACACGUGGGCAACCUGCCCUCCUAUUGGGGAAAGCCUCGGGGAACAGGGAUAAUACCCGAUAGAGAUGGAUGGCCCGCUGCCUGUUAGCUUGUUGGUGGGGAUGAGGACUACACAGGCAAUGAGGGGUAGCUGGGUUGAGAGACCGACCAGCCAGAUUGGGACUGAGACACGGCCCAGACUCCUACGGGAGGCAGCAGUGGGGAAUCUUGCACAAUGGGCGAAAGCCUGAUGCAGCGACGCCGCGUGCGGGACGAAGGCCUUCGGGUUGUAAACCGCUUUCAGCAGGGACGCGGUACCUGCAGAAGAAGCCACGGCUAACUACGUGCCAGCAGCCGCGGUAAUAC
This 406-nucleotide ribosomal RNA is filed under the name uncultured bacterium. RNAcentral's name for it is "partial 16S ribosomal RNA". It matches the Rfam family "Bacterial small subunit ribosomal RNA", at positions 28 to 526 of the family's 1533-position model. The record is from RNAcentral.